Molecule: ribosomal RNA, 753 nt
Filed under: Graphis aff. caesiella 33919
Lineage: Eukaryota; Fungi; Ascomycota; Lecanoromycetes; Ostropales; Graphidaceae
Description: SSU rRNA
Rfam family: Bacterial small subunit ribosomal RNA
Source: RNAcentral
UAAUGUACCUAGUAGUAUUAGAAAUGAAUAUGAGGUUAACUAGGUUAAUUAAAAUUCGGAGUAGAUAAGUGAUUAUGACAGUAUCUGCUGAUGUCUUGACCAAGUCACGUGCCAGCAGUCGCGGCAAUACGUGGAAGAUAAGUGUUAUUCAUCUUUAAUAGGUUUAAAGGGUACCUAGACGGUUAAUUAAGCAAGAAAUUGUACUAAUUUAAAACUAGAGUUUAAUGUAGGAAGGGUCAGUACGAUGCGGAGUAGAGAUAGAAUUCUUUGAUACUCAUGGGGACUGGUAAAGGCGAAGGCAACCUUUUAUGUAAAAACUGACGUUAAGGGACGAAGGCUCAAGGAGAAAAAAGAGGAUUAGAUACCCUCGUAUAGUGGGCAGACAAUGAUGAGUGUCAUAUGUAAGAUAUUUUUGUGUAUAAAUGAAAGUGUAAGCACUCCACCUCAAGAGUAACGUGGCAACAUGGGAACUGAAAUCAUUAGGCCGUUUCUGAAACUCGUAGUGAAGUAUGUUGUUUAAUUUGUUGGUUCGCAAAUAACCUUACCACAAUAUGUAUAGCUUGUAAUAUUACAUUAGGUUUUUAAUCUUUAGGUUUAAAACUUGUAUGCUAUAUUAUAUAUAAAUUUAUAUAUAAUACAGUAGAACUUACAAGCUACAAGCGUUGCACGGCUGUUUUUAGUCAAUGUUGUGAAACUUUGGUUAGGUCCAUUAAAUUGAUGUAAGCCCUUGCUUUAUUUAAUAAAAAGUAGUUC